Molecule: long non-coding RNA, 357 nt
Organism: Talpa occidentalis (Iberian mole)
Lineage: Eukaryota; Metazoa; Chordata; Mammalia; Eulipotyphla; Talpidae
Exons: 3
Source: RefSeq, a predicted model, not a curated record
CUGACUGGACAGGACACGGGUGUGCCGAGGCUGUGUCGCCAGAGGGCCGCAGGGACGUCGCCACGCCUGCCGCAGGAGCAGAAGUAGGGGUGCUGGCUUCUGGACGCCCAGAGACUCGUUUUCUGCACUGACUACUCUGUGCAUCUGGCUGCUGAGUUUGGAUGGAAGCGGUGGAAAGAAGGUGCUGCGGAACCCCUGAGAACGUACUCCCUGCUCCUCGGAGCCACUCACGGGCAGGACCCGCAUGGGUGAAGGCGCUGUGGAGUUGGUGUGGUGGACGUGCUCGUAUGUGUGGUAGGUGCAGGGGCGCGGAGCACAGGGCAGAGGACGUAGAAGCUCGUGUGGGACCCACUGAAA